AUGGCUUUCCACCAAAGAUCGAUAAGUUUGCCUUCUAGGCCUCAUGUUAGUGAGACCCAAGUCGAGCAAGAGCUCCACAGCCUAGAAGCAAGCAUCUCUUCCUCCAAUUCCAUCAGCACCAUGUGCGAUGGUCUCAGGAGUCUUGCAAGCAUCUACGAUGGUCUUGAAGACAUUAUUUGCCUACCAAGCCACCAAGUUUUCUCCUCCCAGCAGAGGAACAUGUUGGAUGGAGAAAUGGAAGGUUCUCUCGAGCUGCUAGAUCUCUGCAGCGCCAUGCAAGAGAUCUUUGUUGAGAUGAAGGCCAUCAUCCAAGAGCUGCAAGUGGCUCUAAGGAAAGGGGAUGAUGCAGCUGCUCAAGCUAAGAUCCAAUCUUACACCCGCUUGGCGAAGAAGGCCAAGAAUCAUUUCAAGAAAAACACGAAGAAGACUCCUACAGAUUGCAGGAUGGUCAUGCUCUUGGCCAAGGCCAGAGAGAUCUCCGCCUCUCUGCUGGAGUCCACAAUCCAUCUCUUGUCAAAGCAAAUUGAGAUGCCUAAACAGUCUCUUGUUUUCAAGCCAUUUCACAAAAAGAGGGCAGUUGUUUGCAAGGAGGAGCAAUUGUCGGGGUUAGAGUGCAGUAUCGGAGAUCUUGAGAGCGGAGCAGGACAUUUGUUCAGGAAAUUAGUCCGGAGCAGAGUUUCUCUACUCAACAUCCUUAGCUCAUAG
RNAcentral lists this ribosomal RNA (705 nucleotides) under Triticum aestivum (bread wheat). RNAcentral describes it as "partial small subunit ribosomal RNA". Lineage: Eukaryota; Viridiplantae; Streptophyta; Magnoliopsida; Poales; Poaceae. The record is from RNAcentral.